GUGUUAGUAGCUUAAUUGGUUAGAGCGCCGCACUGUGAAUGCGGAGGACAGGGUUCGACUCCCGCUAACACC
RNAcentral lists this transfer RNA (72 nucleotides) under Hymenobacter metallicola. RNAcentral describes it as "Hymenobacter sp. 9PBR-1 tRNA-His". It matches the Rfam family "tRNA". Rfam says of the family: Transfer RNA (tRNA) molecules are approximately 80 nucleotides in length. Their secondary structure includes four short double-helical elements and three loops (D, anti-codon, and T loops). Further hydrogen bonds mediate the characteristic L-shaped molecular structure. tRNAs have two regions of fundamental functional importance: the anti-codon, which is responsible for specific mRNA codon recognition, and the 3' end, to which the tRNAs corresponding amino acid is attached (by aminoacyl-tRNA synthetases). tRNAs cope with the degeneracy of the genetic code in two manners: having more than one tRNA (with a specific anti-codon) for a particular amino acid; and 'wobble' base-pairing, i.e. permitting non-standard base-pairing at the 3rd anti-codon position. Lineage: Bacteria; Pseudomonadati; Bacteroidota; Cytophagia; Cytophagales; Hymenobacteraceae. The record is from RNAcentral.